CCUACGGGAGGCAGCAGUGGGGAAUAUUGGACAAUGGGCGAAAGCCUGAUCCAGCCAUGCCGCGUGUGUGAAGAAGGCCUUCGGGUUGUAAAGCACUUUCAGUGGGGAAGAAAGCCUUGGGGCUAAUACCCUCGAGGAAGGACAUCACCCACAGAAGAAGCACCGGCUAACUCCGUGCCAGCAGCCGCGGUAAUACGGAGGGUGCGAGCGUUAAUCGGAAUUACUGGGCGUAAAGCGCGCGUAGGCGGUCUGAUAAGCCGGUUGUGAAAGCCCCGGGCUCAACCUGGGAACGGCAUCCGGAACUGUCAAGCUAGAGUGCAGGAGAGGAAGGUAGAAUUCCCGGUGUAGCGGUGAAAUGCGUAGAGAUCGGGAGGAAUACCAGUUGCGAAGGCGGCCUUCUGGACUGACACUGACGCUGAGGUGCGAAAGCGUGGGUAGCAAACAGGAUUAGAUACCCCAGUAGUC
Molecule: ribosomal RNA, 465 nt
Filed under: Vreelandella stevensii
Lineage: Bacteria; Pseudomonadati; Pseudomonadota; Gammaproteobacteria; Oceanospirillales; Halomonadaceae
Description: partial 16S ribosomal RNA
Rfam family: Bacterial small subunit ribosomal RNA
Source: RNAcentral